CAUUCUCCUUGCUUAUAGCAUCAACCAUGCAGUGAUACUUUGUUUUCUUUUUCAGAGUAAAUAACUGUAGUAGUUCUUUGGUCACUAUUUUUGCUAUAUUAAGUAAAUUUCUUUCAUGCCAAUUGGUUGGGUAAUGAACUAGUGAUCUACUUAUAUGAAUUUGGAUAAUCUUUCCCUCAUUAGCUAGCUUUUGAGGUUGAGUUAGACCCAAGUGUCAUAUGUUUACAUGGUAUAAGAGCUAGGUCGUUCCAUGUUUGGGGCCCAAUGUUAUAUUGUGCACUCUCCAGUUGGGAGAGCUGGCCUUGGGCAUUGGGCUUGGGUGUGAAGAUGUGGUUGGAGUUUGUAUUGGUGGUUUGCUUAUAUGGACUUGGACAAUCCUCCUCAUGAGCUAGCGUCUGGGUUGUGAGUAAGGCCCAAAUACCAUAUGUUUACCGGGAUUGUUUUGUAGGCUAAUAUUGGAAAUCUCAUUCUAACAAAUUUAUAUUUGAUGUUUUACCAUCUCAUCUAACAAUUUUAAGUUUGUGAAUUUAAAACCUCUGUAAGUAGAAUGCUUCCCGCCAAAUUUUAAUGAUGUGGUGCUCUCAAAUGUUUUAAUAUACAAUCUUGGAGUAACAACAACAAUAACAUACCAAAUGUAAUCUCACAAGUGGAGGCUGGGGUGUGUAGAGUGUAUGCAAACGUUACCCCUACCUUGUGGAGGUAGAGAGGCUAUUUCCGAAAGACCCUCGGCGCUAGAACAGCAAAUCAAAGUAGCUAUGGAAAAGGAAAUACAACAUUAAAGAUACACAAUUUUGGAGUGGCUGAAUAAUUAUUGUGUCUGUUUCUAUUUCUGAUUAUUGAGUUUUGUGAUGUUGCUUAUUGUUGUCUUUGUAGCUUUCUUCUAGUGAGGAAUAAAAAUGGUCUAUUGAUGUUAUCCAAGUCAGUGCAAGUGUUAGGUGUUAGGUCUAGUGGAUAUCUCAUUACAGGAUAAUAAAAAGAAUGGUGAAAGUAAUGUUACCAGUUUCAAAAAAAAAAAGAAUGGUAAAAGUUUUAAUUUGUUUGCUUUAUCUUUUAAGGAAGGUGCUAGACUUCUAGGAAUUCAGAAAGACUCCUCAUUGUGUUGGGCAUCAGAUUGAUAGUUGAAUCGAGGAGUUCAACAGAAACUCUGCAUAUGCAUUAGCCUAAGGUUUAUAAAUAUUCAAUUUGUUAAAUUGCUUGUGUUUAGUAAUUUAAUUAGCAGAAUUUUGAAAUUCUUACCAACAUUUUCGUCGUUAGUUCUAGAUAGUUUUAAAGAAGAAAGUUGGAAAGUAAGUUUUGGGGGACUAGGUACUAUUGUGCAGAUUAAUACAAUUUCAUCAAGACAUUCAUGAAGAUAAAUACGAUAGUAAUAAGAAAAAAAAAAUUAUGUUGUUUGGAAAUUGAGAAUUUCCAUUUGAGUUGAGUCAAAGCAGUUGCCUUGGUUUUAGUCUAUCAUAAGCAAAAAGACAUCAAAACCAUGCCUUUUGAGCCUAAAAGAAUUUUAUUUAGGUGGAAACAAAUAUGACAGUCAUUUUGUCUUCAAGUUAUUAAAGAGUAUACACUAAGUAGUCUUAACAAACCAUAAAGAAGCAUCCAGCAAUUAUGAGGCCGCUUAUCUGAAAUCCUAUCUAUAUUGUUUAUUAUAUCUUAUGGGUCAUGGUUUGUGAUAUUCUUUUUCCAUUUUUGGCUUCAUUUAUCAAAUGAAACAGGCAUAUCUCUGGUUUGUUAGAUGCCACGUCCAAGCUUUCAUUUCCCUAUUUAACAUUAUCUUCUAAAUGUGGGCUAUCCAGAUUUACACAUGUGCAAUGCACAUGUCAUCUCAUAUAAAACAUAGACAGCACCAAAGACUUAGUUUUGCUUUCUUGCAACAUAUUAUAUCUGUUAUUUAAGCUGUAAGGUAGGUGGUUCAAAGAGAUCAUUUUUCCCCUUCCUAUAAUUGAAUUUUUGUUCAGGAUUUUGAGUGUUGGCAGUCAUGUGGGUGAGGCAUGCAAUGAUGUCAAGCAUUAUUGCAAAGAGGGUAUCCCCAAAAGUUGAUGUUAUGUGGGUUGGACUAGUAACAAGAUGACACAAAUCAAUAGCCUCUUUACUGAAAAGGACACUCAAAAGUUUUUUCUUUAAGAUUUGUAUCAAAAUCUAUGUCACCAUUGGUUCCCUUGGGGACCCUUUCUCAUUGGUGUUGACACGUUAUUGAAAAUUGGUCCCUUGACUUAAUCUUCUGCAGCUUUUUGAGGAGAUAUUGGUUUGUUGGUUCAAUUGUUUUCAGCUGAAUAUGCCUUUAAUAAACUCCUUUUUUUUUU
RNAcentral lists this long non-coding RNA (2294 nucleotides) under Solanum tuberosum (potato). Its description in RNAcentral is "long non-coding RNA (STUB_LNC007716)". The record is from RNAcentral. Lineage: Eukaryota; Viridiplantae; Streptophyta; Magnoliopsida; Solanales; Solanaceae.